Gadus chalcogrammus (walleye pollock) is the source of this 852-nucleotide long non-coding RNA. RefSeq lists it as uncharacterized. NCBI's taxonomy places the organism in Eukaryota, Metazoa, Chordata, Actinopteri, Gadiformes, Gadidae. The record is from RefSeq and is a predicted model, not a curated record. The transcript is spliced from 3 exons.
GAAUGGCUCUAUUUGUUGGUUUAUUUGUUCUUUAAGGUUUGACGGACUACAGUUCAGUUAGAGGUCCGGGAAAGCUUCCUGAACGGGAACGGAUAAGGCAGAUUUAAUGUUCGGCACAGACCAACUUGGAUGAGAGCGCCUGGUUUCCUGGUUUGAUCAAGACACUUCUUCUGUUUGCCUUGCCGGAACCAGUGGAAGAGCCCAGAUAAGCAGCCAUCUCUAUUCUUCUCCGAAGGCACCAUCAUUGGCAGCCGAAAGGCUGGGACCGGAUGGUUGCUAGGAGAUGGACCACCUGCACUGCCCUCAGACCAAAGCUGGGAAGAGACCAGGCUGGAGAACAGCCACAAGACACGGGGGGAAAAAAGGCAAUCAGUGAUACGGUUCACUGCAGAGCCACUGAUGCCACCUUCUCAGAGUCCAGAAGGUCCCGAUAAAGUGGACCAUCCACUCACCGAUCGACAAAGGCUCAAAGGCUACAGCUCACCUUGCUUAAAUGUUUGUUGAAAUCUUGUAGUUGCAUGACCUGAGAGUUGUUUGCAACACUCCAAUAGCAUGCAAGAAAUGAGAGGUGUGAUGAAGUCGUUUACCAAAUGGAAAAAGCUGAUUAAUCCAAGGGGGCAGGAGGUCAGGAGUAUAGUGUAUAGUGGGGUUCGACUCCCAGCCAAAUGGGUCUGGGUUCAAUCUCCACUGUCCAAUAGCGAUAGUUCUGUGAGCAUUGUUUGGCAAGAUGCCUAUCUCCUCCGUCUACUCCUUUAACGGCCUGUUCCUUUAAUGGCCUUCUCCUGAAGUCACUUUGGAUAAAGGCAAAAAUACGUCAGUUUACUAAAUAAAGCAAAAGCUGUUUGGCAAUUA